UUGCGCACGGAUUAAAAGGGAAUCGGGUGCAAAUCCCGGACAGUCCCGCUGCUGUGAUGCUCCGUGAACUUUCUGAAAAAGCACCAUCACCACUGGCCGUUUGUUUCUCAAGGCCGGGAAGGUUUCAGGAAGGGGGCGAGUCAGAAGACCUGCCGUUCGUUAAA
Molecule: non-coding RNA, 164 nt
Filed under: Paraprevotella xylaniphila
Lineage: Bacteria; Pseudomonadati; Bacteroidota; Bacteroidia; Bacteroidales; Prevotellaceae
Source: RNAcentral